Molecule: long non-coding RNA, 1185 nt
Organism: Setaria italica (foxtail millet)
Lineage: Eukaryota; Viridiplantae; Streptophyta; Magnoliopsida; Poales; Poaceae
Exons: 4
Source: RefSeq, a predicted model, not a curated record
AUCUUGUUGAGUUCAAGGCUGUCAGCUCCACAGCUUCAAGAUCCACUCCUUGUGCAUCUCUUCACUGGAUACCAUGUCAAUGGAAAGGGCUACAUGAAGCUACACGUAUGAGAAGAGACUUGUGGAUAUUCUAAAAGAGCUUGUCAGCAUCCUAAUGAUUAAGGGAUAGAAUGGGUGGACAGCAGAAGAUUUGAGGAGUAUCACAAACAAAUUCAAUGAUAUGGAAACGGCACAUUUCACAAAACAGCAAGUGCAAGAAAAGGAGAAAGAGCUGAAAGGAAACUAUAAGAUAAUACAAGAAGCGAGGAAAAGUGGUGUUGGUUGGAAUGACACUUUGGGUAUGAUCAUUGCAGAACCAAAAGGUUGGGAGAAGUUGAUUAAGGAUAACCACAAAGUUGCCAAGAUCCUCAAGAAGUCAUUUUCUUUUUAUAACAGCUUGGAAUUAUUGUAUGAAGGAAGUGUGACCACAGGGCAUUUAAAUUUUACAUCAAUUGAGCCUCCACCCUAAAGAAUUGAGCUGUCAGCUGCACCUACUCCCCACAGAAGUGUGCUACGAGCUGAACCCACUCCCUAAAAAAGUAUCUCAGAGCAAAGCAAUCAUAGCACAACACCUAGCUUUGGAUAUAAUGGCAUGGCUUCUAAUGAUAGAAAUCCACUCAGUUUUGGUCUUGCUGGUGUAGAAAGCACAGAAAUUCAAUCUGCUCCAACCAAUCGUAAUUCAGACGACCAAGAUGUUACCGGUGGAAAGAUGUUACCGGUGGAAAGAAAUGCAAGCAAAGUCAGAUGGCAGCAAAACUCAAGGAUUACAUUGACUUUAAAAAGGAUCAGAUUGAAAAAACUCUAGAAAAGUUAGAAGAGAAGAAGAGACGUGAAGAAGACUACUCAAUCGAGAAAUGUAUUGACAUUGUGGAUGUCAUGGAAGGGCUAUCGGAUGAACAAAAAGCUGAUGCAAUUGAAGUUUUCCAAAGUGAAAGAACUAAAAAAUAUUGGUCAGCACCGAAAACCUAAGUGUUCGGCUGAUUUGGUUGAAGAAAAAUAUUGCUCGGAUAUGUUCCCUUUCUCAAUUUUGUACCCUUGCUCAAGUGCCGGUUGAAUCCUCUAUUUGCAUAUAUAAAACAUAAAAUUUUGUCCCCUGCUGGUGUCAUUGAUUUUACAUUUUUUUAUACUGCAGCUUUCUAACUCCAG